GACGAACGCUGGCGGCGUGCUUAACACAUGCAAGUCGAACGGAAAGGCCCUGCUUUUGUGGGGUGCUCGAGUGGCGAACGGGUGAGUAACACGUGAGUGACCUGCCCUUGACUUUGGGAUAACUUCAGGAAACUGGGGCUAAUACCGGAUAGGAGCUCCUGCUGCAUGGUGGGGGUUGGAAAGUUUCGGCGGUUGGGGAUGGACUCGCGGCUUAUCAGCUUGUUGGUGGGGUAGUGGCUUACCAAGGCUUUGACGGGUAGCCGGCCUGAGAGGGUGACCGGCCACAUUGGGACUGAGAUACGGCCCAGACUCCUACGGGAGGCAGCAGUGGGGAAUAUUGCACAAUGGGCGGAAGCCUGAUGCAGCAACGCCGCGUGCGGGAUGACGGCCUUCGGGUUGUAAACCGCUUUCGCCUGUGACGAAGCGUGAGUGACGGUAAUGGGUAAAGAAGCACCGGCUAACUACGU
This 467-nucleotide ribosomal RNA is filed under the name uncultured bacterium. RNAcentral's name for it is "partial 16S ribosomal RNA". It matches the Rfam family "Bacterial small subunit ribosomal RNA", at positions 28 to 506 of the family's 1533-position model. The record is from RNAcentral.